This 504-nucleotide ribosomal RNA is filed under the name uncultured bacterium. RNAcentral's name for it is "partial 16S ribosomal RNA". It matches the Rfam family "Bacterial small subunit ribosomal RNA", at positions 30 to 523 of the family's 1533-position model. The record is from RNAcentral.
AUUGAACGCUGGCGGCAUGCCUUACACAUGCAAGUCGAACGGCAGCAUAGAGAGCUUGCCCUCUGAUGGCGAGUGGCGAACGGGUGAGUAAAGCAUCGGAACGUACCGUGUAGUGGGGGAUAACGUAGCGAAAGUUACGCUAAUACCGCAUACGCACUGAGGUGGAAAGCAGGGGAUCGCAAGACCUUGCGCUGUACGAGCGGCCGAUGUCAGAUUAGCUAGUUGGUAGGGUAAAGGCCUACCAAGGCGACGAUCUGUAGCGGGUCUGAGAGGAUGAUCCGCCACACUGGGACUGAGACACGGCCCAGACUCCUACGGGAGGCAGCAGUGGGGAAUUUUGGACAAUGGGGGCAACCCUGAUCCAGCCAUGCCGCGUGAGUGAAGAAGGCCUUCGGGUUGUAAAGCUCUUUCGGCCGGGAAGAAAUCGCACAGGCCAAUACUCUGUGUGGAUGACGGUACCGGCAUAAGAAGCACCGGCUAACUACGUGCCAGCCGCCGCGGUAA